UAUGGAUGUAACACCCUGAUCGUGCCUGAUCUCAUCUGAUCUAGGAAGCUAAGCUAAAUCAGGCCUGAUUAGUACCUGGAUUAAAAGUUUGCUGAGGAAAUCCACAG
RNAcentral lists this ribosomal RNA (107 nucleotides) under Fukomys damarensis (Damara mole-rat). The record is from RNAcentral. Lineage: Eukaryota; Metazoa; Chordata; Mammalia; Rodentia; Bathyergidae.